Molecule: non-coding RNA, 96 nt
Organism: Stereum hirsutum FP-91666 SS1
Lineage: Eukaryota; Fungi; Basidiomycota; Agaricomycetes; Russulales; Stereaceae
Source: the annotation of a RefSeq genome assembly
CCUCCAGUAGCUCAGCGGUAGAGCAGGGAGAGAAGAUAGCUCAAAAUAUGAAGAAUUGAUUUCUCCCCGUCGUUGGUUCGAAUCCGGCCUAGAGGU